This 331-nucleotide ribosomal RNA is filed under the name uncultured eukaryote. Its description in RNAcentral is "partial 18S ribosomal RNA". It matches the Rfam family "Eukaryotic small subunit ribosomal RNA", at positions 1470 to 1796 of the family's 1831-position model. The record is from RNAcentral.
CCCUUAGAUGUUCUGGGCCGCACGCGCGCUACACUGUUCGACGCAGCGAGUCUUAACCUUGACCGAAAGGUUUGGGUAAUCUUCAGCAAAGCCGAACGUGAUGGGGAUCGAUCAUUGCAAUUAUUGAUCGUGAACGAGGAAUUCCUAGUAAGUGCAAGUCAUCAGCUUGCGCUGAUUACGUCCCUGCCCUUUGUACACACCGCCCGUCGCUACUACCGAUUGAAUGGUUUAGUGAGAUCUCUGGAUUGACGCUGGCUAGGGGGCGACCCUUGGCCAGACUGUUGAGAAACUGCUCAAACUUGAUCAUUUAGAGGAAGUAAAAGUCGUAACA